ACAUGCCUACAACAUAGCGUUAAUACACCGGAUCCCAUUAGAACUCUGCAGUUAAGCGCAUUCAGGCUAGAGUAGUACUGGGAUGGGUGAUUGCCCGAGAAUUCCUAAUGUUUUACAUGCC
Molecule: non-coding RNA, 121 nt
Organism: Picea glauca (white spruce)
Lineage: Eukaryota; Viridiplantae; Streptophyta; Pinopsida; Pinales; Pinaceae
Source: Rfam